RNAcentral lists this ribosomal RNA (427 nucleotides) under uncultured bacterium. RNAcentral's name for it is "partial 16S ribosomal RNA". It matches the Rfam family "Bacterial small subunit ribosomal RNA", at positions 355 to 774 of the family's 1533-position model. The record is from RNAcentral.
UGGGGAAUAUUGCACAAUGGGCGCAAGCCUGAUGCAGCCAUGCCGCGUGUAUGAAGAAGGCCUUCGGGUUGUAAAGUACUUUCAGCGAGGAGGAAGGCGGUGUGGUUAAUAACCGCAACGAUUGACGUUACUCGCAGAAGAAGCACCGGCUAACUCCGUGCCAGCAGCCGCGGUAAUACGGAGGGUGCAAGCGUUAAUCGGAAUUACUGGGCGUAAAGCGCACGCAGGCGGUCUGUCAAGUCGGAUGUGAAAUCCCCGGGCUCAACCUGGGAACUGCAUCCGAAACUGGCAGGCUAGAGUCUUGUAGAGGGGGGUAGAAUUCCAGGUGUAGCGGUGAAAUGCGUAGAGAUCUGGAGGAAUACCGGUGGCGAAGGCGGCCCCCUGGACAAAGACUGACGCUCAGGUGCGAAAGCGUGGGGAGCAAACA